This 301-nucleotide ribosomal RNA is filed under the name uncultured bacterium. RNAcentral describes it as "bacterial SSU rRNA". It matches the Rfam family "Bacterial small subunit ribosomal RNA", at positions 334 to 646 of the family's 1533-position model. The record is from RNAcentral.
UGGUCAUACGGGGCGCAGCAGUCGAGAAUCAUUCACAAUGGGGGAAACCCUGAUGGUGCGACGCCGCGUGGGGGAAUGAAGGUCUUCGGAUUGUAAACCCCUGUCAUGUGGGAGCAAAUUAAAAAGAUAGUACCACAAGAGGAAGAGACGGCUAACUCUGUGCCAGCAGCCGCGGUAAUACAGAGGUCUCAAGCGUUGUUCGGAAUCACUGGGCGUAAAGCGUGCGUAGGCUGUUUCGUAAGUCGUGUGUGAAAGUCGCGGGCUCAACCCGCGGACGGCACUUGAUAUUGCGAGACUGGAG